CCACCUGAUCCCAUGCCGAACUCAGAAGUGAA
This 32-nucleotide ribosomal RNA is filed under the name Gallibacterium anatis. The record is from RNAcentral. Lineage: Bacteria; Pseudomonadati; Pseudomonadota; Gammaproteobacteria; Pasteurellales; Pasteurellaceae.